AUACGGAGGGUGCAAGCGUUAAUCGGAAUUACUGGGCGUAAAGCGUACGUAGGCGGCAAGUUAAGUUAGAUGUGAAAGCCCCGGGCUCAGCAUGGGAACUGCAUUUAAAACUGGCUUGCUAGAGUUGAGUAGAGGGGAGUGGAAUUUCAGGUGUAGCGGUGAAAUGCGUAGAGAUCUGAAGGAACACCAGUGGCGAAGGCGACUCCCUGGACUCGAACUGACGCUGAGGUACGAAAGCGUGGGUAGCAAACGGGAUUAGAAACCCCUGUAGUCC
This 274-nucleotide ribosomal RNA is filed under the name uncultured bacterium. RNAcentral's name for it is "partial 16S ribosomal RNA". It matches the Rfam family "Bacterial small subunit ribosomal RNA", at positions 523 to 796 of the family's 1533-position model. The record is from RNAcentral.